GAACUGUGCUGCAGAGAAAAACAGUUUGGAAACAAAUCAGGCUCCAGUGAUGACUCCUCUCCAGCGGGUGCUGCAGCAGGAUGGAUGUGCUGUCACUGAGCCCGUGUGCAGCUGCAACAGACCUGCUCAUACGUGGCUUCCCUUUAGCAAGCUCCUCUCCUUGGAACUUGGUUGAUGCCUUCCUACAGCUUGGAUGACCCAACCUGUGCUCAGACCUGCCCAGGGAGCAGAAACAAGGGAAUGGUUUGCCUGAAUGGCCAGUUUGAAAUAGACACACAUCAGAGAUAUGCACAGGUAAUCACUUAUGUGUACAAUUCUAUGUUCUUGCUCCAAGGUGUAAAGACAGCACAGCCCAGGACAUGGCAAUGACUUUGGUGCUGGAGUCAGUUGGACUCAUUUGUUCAGAGAUCCAAAGCAGCACAGAUAGAAAACAUUCCAUUCUUCCAAAACAAAACAAAGAUUCUGCUGAUGAACCCGGGGAUCACAAACCCUGCCCAGGACCUGCUCUCUGCAGGACACACCAUAACUAGCAGAACAACCAGCAGAACUCACAAGCAAUAAUCACCUGAAACCUGUAACAUUGCUGACUCCAGGAUCACAGAGCCAAGGCACUGCCCAGCACGGCCUGAGAGCACAGUGGGACUCAGCCCGGAGCCCAGCACGCCCCAGCUCAGCCAGGGUGGGGCUCAGCCCCCUCUGCAGCCCCUGCCCAGUCCCCUCACUGCCCCGGCGGCACAGAGGGGCAUCACUUCAGCCAGGCAACCUCCUGGUAAUUUUUAUUUUACACUGACACAUUUACCACCACAGCACCCAGGCCAGCCUGCGCUGCCAUCAGGGUGCCAGCCAGAAGCUGGAAACUCAGAGCAGCUCCUUCUCUCAGCAUGCUCAAGCACCCGGCUCGCUCCACCUCCCCCUCUCAGAGCAGACUGGGAUCAGAGCUCAGCCUCUCAGUUGCUUUUCCUCUCCUUCUCUUUCCCCUCCUUUCAUCUAACACAGCACAGGAAGGACACAGCACCAGGCAGGUACCCAGCUGCUACCCACACUCUGCAGCAAACCAGAAUUUAUGAGCCAUGAACACCAGGAACAAGAAGAAAAAUUUCCCCUUACAGAGUUCCAGCAACGCUGCAAACACCUGGAAAGACACAGCUGGAAAGUGCUCAGACCAGCCCUGAGCACCUGCCCUUCUUGCUGGCUCUGUCCAGCCCUCUCUGCUUCCUUCAGCUGGCUGACAUCCACUGGCCAUGGCAAGAGACCCUCAGGCCCCCUGUGAUGUUCAGCAGCAUCCAUCUGACCCUGAGCAAACACUGCGAGCUGUGGGCCUUACUCAGCAUGGAGGCUGGACCUGCUACAAACCCUUUGCAGGUCUGGCCCCAUAAAACCCCCAUUAGGACUCCAACAAACAAACUUCAGCUCAACAGGCUUCCUCCUGCUCCUCCUGUGCCAUGCCAGAGCCUGGCAGCCACUGUCUUACCACACCAGACCCACAGAGCUUGGCCAGGGACCUCCAGGGCUGUCCUGGUCCUGCAACACCAUGGUCCACAUGCCCAGAGAAGAGAAAAACAGAGUGUCUGCUCAUACUCACAGUU
Molecule: long non-coding RNA, 1586 nt
Organism: Zonotrichia leucophrys gambelii
Lineage: Eukaryota; Metazoa; Chordata; Aves; Passeriformes; Passerellidae
Exons: 3
Source: RefSeq, a predicted model, not a curated record